GAUGAACGCUGGCGGCGUGCCUAACACAUGCAAGUCGAACGGACAGACGAUGAGCUUUUUCCUUUGCCGUUAGCGGCGGACGGGCGAGUAACACGUGGAUCACCUUCUUAUUUUUCUUGGAUAAUUUCGUGAAACCGGUUCUACUACUACAUAAUAUAUUGUACCGCUUGGUUCAAUAGUUCAUCACGGCUUUGCUGUCUCUUAUAGCUGGAUCCGCGCUGCAUUAGCUGGUUGGUAAGGUCACGGCCUAGCAAGGCUACGUUGCGUAUCCGAGCUGAGAGGGUGAUCGGCCACAACGGAACUGGGACAAGGUCCAGAAUCCUAAGGGAGGGAGCAGUAGGGAAUGUUUGGCAAUGGGGGAAAACCUGACGGAAGAACGACGGGUGAGGGAUAAAGGGCCUGCGAGCGGAAAACUCUGUUUUUAGGGAAAAACAAAUGUGUAAUUAACUAUGCACGGCUUGACGGUAACUAAUAAGAAAGCCACGGCUAACUACGUG
RNAcentral lists this ribosomal RNA (497 nucleotides) under uncultured bacterium. Its description in RNAcentral is "partial 16S ribosomal RNA". It matches the Rfam family "Bacterial small subunit ribosomal RNA", at positions 28 to 507 of the family's 1533-position model. The record is from RNAcentral.